GGUCCUAUGGUCUAGCGGUUAGGACGCCGCCCUCUCACGGCGGUAACAGGGGUUCGAGUCCCCUUAGGACUA
RNAcentral lists this transfer RNA (72 nucleotides) under Caloramator quimbayensis. Its description in RNAcentral is "tRNA_Glu_CTC". It matches the Rfam family "tRNA". From Rfam's summary of the family: Transfer RNA (tRNA) molecules are approximately 80 nucleotides in length. Lineage: Bacteria; Bacillati; Bacillota; Clostridia; Eubacteriales; Clostridiaceae. The record is from RNAcentral. RNAcentral also lists the same sequence under 1 other name.